RNAcentral lists this microRNA (23 nucleotides) under Caenorhabditis remanei. RNAcentral's name for it is "crm-miR-231". Its record names the gene crm-miR-231. The record is from miRBase by way of RNAcentral. Lineage: Eukaryota; Metazoa; Nematoda; Chromadorea; Rhabditida; Rhabditidae.
UAAGCUCGUGAACAACAGGCAGG